GAGAAACUGUGUUCUUUUUUGGUACUUUAUGUCAUGAGGGCUUGGCAAAGGGUUCCCAACAGAGUUCGUUGGCAUUCUGUUCACCUCCGACCGGUCUUCAUCUCGAAACUCCUCCCAACAAGUGAAACAAAACGAGGGGGAAAGAAGAAAGAUUCUUCAUCAAGUCUCUCUUGUGAUCUCUUGGAGGUGGGCAUGGUGCCAACUGGGCUCUGUUAGGCUCUCUCUGUGAAACCCUUCAUGAAUCAUUUCUCCAUGUUAUUACAUCAGCUGACCUUCUUCGAGCUUUUUGAUAGAGUGGGAAACGAGGGCUUAAAUGAAGCUGUUGACACGUCUCGUGCAUGGGGUGACUGGAAAGAAGAAGAAGAAGAAGAAGAAGAAGAAGAAGAAGAUGAAUUCAUAAAGUGAUGACAGUCGAUCCUUCGAUCUGUCCACUGGAAAUCCUAGUUCGUCCUGCCCCAUUUCUUCGCUGUUCCUGGAAAACUAGAGUUAAAAUCCCCGGCUUCUUUCCCAGCAAAAG
Molecule: long non-coding RNA, 517 nt
Organism: Rhodamnia argentea
Lineage: Eukaryota; Viridiplantae; Streptophyta; Magnoliopsida; Myrtales; Myrtaceae
Exons: 2
Source: RefSeq, a predicted model, not a curated record